AUUUUGGAACAAACCACUGCGUGGGUUGGAUGUGACACUAAGGGGCGCUACCACCCCCAGGUAGGGGGUUUCCACCCAAGCUCCUGAUGGAGGCACGAGUGGCAGUACCUUGAACGUCCGCAACCCCCACCCAUCCUCCCGAUUCUUAUCUGAGUCCCAGGCAGGCACCCACUAAGGACUGAAGCCCCCACCUUGCCAAGGCUACACUCGCAGUUUCUCAUCGGUCUCCGCCCUUCAAGUUCUUUACCUUUGAAUCAGUGGCUCGAGCGUACAGGAGCAAGCGAUUGGAUCUACGGAGAGGUGAGCGGGUCGCAAGGCUCGAUUUGGGAUCUGAUUGGUCAAGGCGAGUUCUUACCAAUCCGGAGCUUUUUCUGUGCGCACCGGAGCAUUAGCCCCGCCCCCAGUCGCGCGCUGAGCUCCAAUUGGCCGCUGUUUUAGCGCAGGCGCAAUGGCUUUUUGGUCCGAGUUCCGCGCCGUGGAGGCGGGACUUUCGGGAUGGAGGACAGGUUCGAGUCUCGUCGAAGCUCGUCGCCGUGUUGCAGUCUGCUCACUUGUCAAAGAUGCUGAAGAUUCUCCCGUAGCAGAAUUUACAACUAUAUCUCUUAUUGCUGCGGUGAUGGGGGCUGACCUCGUGGCUGCACCCACAGGAGCGAGGCCAGGGAUCGAACCUGCAACCUCAUGGUUCCUAGUCGGAUUCGUUUCUGCUGCGCCACAUGGGAACCCCAUGGUUCGUUUUUGACAAGCUUGAACUUAUUAACAAGGUGGAGCCCCUCAUGAUGGAGAUGAUGGAGGAGGAGUCACCACAGUCUCACUGGGCCUGGAAUCAUUUCCUAUGAGGAAAGCCUCUGAGGACUGUGAGGUGAAGAGUGCAUCAUCGUAAGAGCUAGUGGUUAGAUUUUUAAGUCAGAGGAGAUGAAACUCUUCUGAAAAUUGGGAUGAUUUUGACUGGAAAAGAUCACUAGUGCACUUCAAUUUUGCCAAUUUUUUUUUUUUUGUCUUUUUAGGGCCAUAGCUCUACCUUACGGAGGUUCCCAGGCUAGGGGUUGAAUCAGAGCUGCAGCCGCCAGCCUACGCCACAGCCACGGUAAUACCGGAUCCUGGAUCCUUAACCCACUGAAUGAGGCCAGGAUCAAACCCGUAUCCUCACAGAGACAAUGUCAGGUCCUUAAGCUGCUGAAACACAGCAGGAUCUCCCAGAGAUCUGCUUUCAGGUAGAUAAAGGAAGCUCUGAGAAGGCUUCUUUUUGCAUCAGUUGAUUUGUAGUUGCC
This 1268-nucleotide long non-coding RNA is filed under the name Sus scrofa (pig). Its description in RNAcentral is "lncRNA (ENSSSCG00070025005.1)". The record is from RNAcentral. Lineage: Eukaryota; Metazoa; Chordata; Mammalia; Artiodactyla; Suidae.